CCCUUAGAUGUUCUGGGCCGCACGCGUGCUACACUGAACGGUUCAAUGGGUAAGGUAGUGCGAAAGCAUGACCUAAUCUCGAAAUCCGUUCGUGCUGGGGAUAGAAGCUUGCAAUUAUCCUUCUUGAACGAGGAAUACCUUGUAAGCGUGAGUCAUCAUCUCACGCUGAAUACGUCCCUGCCCUUUGUACACACCGCCCGUCGCUCCUACCGAUUGAGUGUUCCGGUGAGGCUUUGGGAGAAUGGCCUCAACAUGAGUUUAUCGUGUUUUGCCGCUUGAACUUAGUCAAACCUUAUCACUUAGAGGAAGGAGAAGUCGUAACA
This 323-nucleotide ribosomal RNA is filed under the name uncultured eukaryote. RNAcentral describes it as "partial 18S ribosomal RNA". It matches the Rfam family "Eukaryotic small subunit ribosomal RNA", at positions 1470 to 1796 of the family's 1831-position model. The record is from RNAcentral.